RNAcentral lists this unclassified non-coding RNA (222 nucleotides) under Hevea brasiliensis (rubber tree). The record is from RNAcentral. Lineage: Eukaryota; Viridiplantae; Streptophyta; Magnoliopsida; Malpighiales; Euphorbiaceae.
CAGGUGCCUUGGACAUGAGGUUCGUGACCUCCACAAAUCUUUACUGAUAGUGGUAGUAUACAAAUACUCAAGAAUCAAGAUACAGGAGAAGCCAAAUUCACCAAUAAUCACCACAAGAACAGGCUCCAUUCUUGAAGUGGUGAAACCUAUGCAUAUCACGCACUAUGAUUUCCCGUCCAGUAACAAGUGUAAUGUACUUUGUUGCAUUAUGGCAAUCGCCAC